Molecule: ribosomal RNA, 300 nt
Filed under: uncultured bacterium
Lineage: Bacteria
Description: bacterial SSU rRNA
Rfam family: Bacterial small subunit ribosomal RNA
Source: RNAcentral
UUCCCUACGGGAGGCAGCAGUGAGGAAUAUUGGUCAAUGGGCGAGAGCCUGAACCAGCCAAGUCGCGUGAAGGAUGACGGCCCUAUGGGUUGUAAACUUCUUUUGUCAGGGAGCAAUUGGGUCCACGUGUGGGCUUAGCGAGAGUACCUGAAGAAAAAGCAUCGGCUAACUCCGUGCCAGCAGCCGCGGUAAUACGGAGGAUGCGAGCGUUAUCCGGAUUUAUUGGGUUUAAAGGGUGCGUAGGCGGAAUAUCAAGUCAGCGGUAAAAAUUCGGGGCUCAACCCCGACGUGCCGUUGAAA